CCAAUAGCGUAUAUUAGAGUUGCUGCAGUUAAAAAGCUCGUAGUUGAAUUUCGGGACCAUCAUGUCGGUCGUGCCUCGGUACGUACUGGUAUUGUUGGUUUCUCCCUUCUGACGAACCAUGAUGUCAUUUAUUUGGUGUGGUGGGGAAUCAGGACUGUUACUUUGAAAAAAUUAGAGUGUUUAAAGCAGGCUCACGCUUGAAUACAUUAGCAUGGAAAAAUGAAAUAGGACGUUUGAUUCUAUUUUGUUGGUUUCCAGGAUCGACGUAAUGAUUAAUAGGGAUAGUUGGGAGCAUUAGUAUUCAAUUGUCAGAGGUGAAAUUCUUGGAUUUAUUUAAGACUAACUACUGCGAAAGCAUUUGCCAAGGGUGUUUUCAUUAAUCAAGAACGAAAGUUAGGGGAUCGAAGACGAUCAGAUACCGUCGUAGUCUUAACCAUAAACUAUGCCGACUAGGGAUCGGAUGAUGUUAAUUUUUUAAUGACUCAUUCGGCGCCUUACG
Molecule: ribosomal RNA, 499 nt
Filed under: uncultured Glomeromycotina
Lineage: Eukaryota; Fungi; Glomeromycota
Description: partial small subunit ribosomal RNA
Rfam family: Eukaryotic small subunit ribosomal RNA
Source: RNAcentral